GUUUACGGCAAUACCACGUUGACAACACCAGGUCUCGUUCGAUCCCUGAAGUUAAGCAACGUUGGGCCGAGUCAGUACCAAGCAGGUAGACCACCUGGGAAUACUCUGUGUUGUGGACA
This 119-nucleotide ribosomal RNA is filed under the name Leptotrombidium deliense. The record is from RNAcentral. Lineage: Eukaryota; Metazoa; Arthropoda; Arachnida; Trombidiformes; Trombiculidae.